GCUGGGCAUGGUGGCACGUGCCUGUAGUCCCAGCUACUUGGGAGGCUGAGGCGGGAGGAUCGCUUGAGCCUAGGAGUUCUCUAGCAGGAUCAGGUGUCCACACCAAGUUUGGCAUCAAUAUGGUGACCUCCCAGGAGCAGGGAACCACCAGGUUGCCCAAGGAGGGGUGAGCUGGCCCAGGUUAGAAACAGAGCAGGUCAAAACUCCUGUGCUGAUCAGAAAGUUAAAGUAUCUUUUCUUAACCUCAGUUUCCUCAUGUGGAAAAUGAAACCUACCUCU
Molecule: unclassified non-coding RNA, 279 nt
Organism: Pan paniscus (pygmy chimpanzee)
Lineage: Eukaryota; Metazoa; Chordata; Mammalia; Primates; Hominidae
Rfam family: Metazoan signal recognition particle RNA
About the family: The signal recognition particle (SRP) is a universally conserved ribonucleoprotein. It is involved in the co-translational targeting of proteins to membranes.
Source: Ensembl